UGGGGAAUUUUGGACAAUGGGCGAAAGCCUGAUCCAGCGACGCCGCGUGGAGGACGAAGGCCUUCGGGUUGUAAACUCCUUUUAGAGGGGAAGAAAAAAAUGACGGUACCCUCAGAAAAAGCCACGGCUAACUACGUGCCAGCAGCCGCGGUAAUACGUAGGUGGCGAGCGUUACUCGGAAUUACUAGGCGUAAAGCGUAUGUAGGCGGCUAGAUAAGUCUUCGGUGAAAUUUUCCGGCUUAACCGGAAAGGGCACGAGGAUACUGUUUGGCUUGAGUGUGGCAGGGGGAGACGGAAUUCCUGGUGUAGCGGUGAAAUGCGUAGAUAUCAGGAGGAACACCGAUGGCGAAAGCAGUCUCCUGGGCCAAUACUGACGCUAAUGUACGAAAGCUAGGGUAGCAAACA
This 405-nucleotide ribosomal RNA is filed under the name uncultured Candidatus Endomicrobium sp. RNAcentral describes it as "partial 16S ribosomal RNA". It matches the Rfam family "Bacterial small subunit ribosomal RNA", at positions 355 to 774 of the family's 1533-position model. The record is from RNAcentral. Lineage: Bacteria; Pseudomonadati; Elusimicrobiota; Endomicrobiia; Endomicrobiales; Endomicrobiaceae.